This 343-nucleotide unclassified non-coding RNA is filed under the name soil metagenome. Its description in RNAcentral is "partial contains 5.8S ribosomal RNA, internal transcribed spacer 2, and large subunit ribosomal RNA". The stretch from base 1 to 120 matches the Rfam family "5.8S ribosomal RNA", at positions 35 to 154 of the family's 154-position model. The record is from RNAcentral.
GAUGAAGAACGUAGCGAAAUGCGAUAAGUAAUGUGAAUUGCAGAAUUCAGUGAAUCAUCGAAUCUUUGAACGCACAUUGCGCCCGCUAGUAUUCUGGCGGGCAUGCCUGUCCGAGCGUCAUUUCAACCCUCAAGCCCCCGGGCUUGGUGUUGGGGAUCGGCGAGCCUCCGCGCCCGCCGUCCCCUAAAUCUAGUGGCGGUCUCGCUGUAGCUUCCUCUGCGUAGUAGCACACCUCGCACUGGGAAACAGCGCGUCCACGCCGUUAAACCCCCAACUUCUGAACGUUUGACCUCGGAUCAGGUAGGAAUACCCGCUGAACUUAAGCAUAUCAAUAAGCGGAGGA